Molecule: small nuclear RNA, 84 nt
Filed under: Trichobilharzia regenti
Lineage: Eukaryota; Metazoa; Platyhelminthes; Trematoda; Strigeidida; Schistosomatidae
Description: U5 spliceosomal RNA
Rfam family: U5 spliceosomal RNA
About the family: U5 RNA is a component of both types of known spliceosome. The precise function of this molecule is unknown, though it is known that the 5' loop is required for splice site selection and p220 binding, and that both the 3' stem-loop and the Sm site are important for Sm protein binding and cap methylation.
Source: Rfam by way of RNAcentral
AAGCCCUGGUGUCUCCUCAUUUGCGGAUAAAUCUUUCGCCUUUUACUAAAGAUUUCCCUGGGGAGGCACGAUUUUUGUGCGUCG